GAUGAGCGCUGGCGGCGUGCCUAAUACAUGCCAGUCGAGCGAACGGACGAGAAGCUUGCUUCUCUGAUGUUAGCGGCGGACGGGUGAGUAACACGUGGAUAACCUACCUAUAAGACUGGGAUAACUUCGGGAAACCGGAGCUAAUACCGGAUAAUAUUUUGAACCGCAUGGUUCAAAAGUGAAAGACGGUCUUGCUGUCACUUAUAGAUGGAUCCGCGCUGCAUUAGCUAGUUGGUAAGGUAACGGCUUACCAAGGCAACGAUGCAUAGCCGACCUGAGAGGGUGAUCGGCCACACUGGAACUGAGACACGGUCCAGACUCCUACGGGAGGCAGCAGUAGGGAAUCUUCCGCAAUGGGCGCAAGCCUGACGAAGCAACGCCGCGUGAGUGAUGAAGGUCUUCGGAUCGUAAAACUCUGUUAUUAGGGAAGAACAUAUGUGUAAGUAACUGUGCACAUCUUGACGGUACCUAAUCAGAAAGCCACGGCUAACUACGUG
RNAcentral lists this ribosomal RNA (497 nucleotides) under uncultured bacterium. Its description in RNAcentral is "partial 16S ribosomal RNA". It matches the Rfam family "Bacterial small subunit ribosomal RNA", at positions 28 to 507 of the family's 1533-position model. The record is from RNAcentral.